UACAGAGGUCCCAAGCGUUGUUCGGGUUCACUGGGCGUAAAGGGUGCGUAGGCGGUUGGAUAAGUCUGAUGUGAAAUCUUCGAGCUCAACUCGGAAACUGCAUCGGAAACUAUCCAGCUUGAGGAUUGGAGGGGAGACUGGAAUUCUCGGUGUAGCAGUGAAAUGCGUAGAUAUCGAGAGGAACACCAGUGGCGAAGGCGAGUCUCUGGACAAUUCCUGAC
Molecule: ribosomal RNA, 221 nt
Filed under: uncultured prokaryote
Description: partial 16S ribosomal RNA
Rfam family: Bacterial small subunit ribosomal RNA
Source: RNAcentral